CUGCCCGGUAGCUAAAUGCGGAAGAGAUAAGUGCUGAAAGCAUCUAAGCACGAAACUUGCCCCGAGAUGAGUUCUCCCUGAGACUUAGAGUCUCCUGAAGGAACGUUGAAGACGACGACGUGAUAGGCCGGGUGUGUAAGCGCAGCGAUGCGUUGAGCUAACCGGUACUAAUGAACCGUGAGGCUUAACCUUACAACGCCGAAG
RNAcentral lists this ribosomal RNA (204 nucleotides) under Salmonella enterica subsp. enterica serovar Infantis. Its description in RNAcentral is "partial 23S ribosomal RNA". It matches the Rfam family "Bacterial large subunit ribosomal RNA", at positions 2738 to 2925 of the family's 2925-position model. The record is from RNAcentral. Lineage: Bacteria; Pseudomonadati; Pseudomonadota; Gammaproteobacteria; Enterobacterales; Enterobacteriaceae.